This 449-nucleotide ribosomal RNA is filed under the name uncultured bacterium. RNAcentral describes it as "partial 16S ribosomal RNA". It matches the Rfam family "Bacterial small subunit ribosomal RNA", at positions 29 to 523 of the family's 1533-position model. The record is from RNAcentral.
AACGAACGCUGGCGGCAUGCCUAACACAUGCAAGUCGAACGAAGCCUUCGGGCUUAGUGGCGCACGGGUGCGUAACGCGUGGGAAUCUGCCCUUUGGUUCGGAAUAACAGUUGGAAACGACUGCUAAUACCGGAUGAUGACGAAAGUCCAAAGAUUUAUCGCCAGAGGAUGAGCCCGCGUAGGAUUAGCUAGUUGGUGUGGUAAAGGCGCACCAAGGCGGCGAUCCUUAGCUGGUCUGAGAGGAAGAUCAGCCACACUGGGACUGAGACACGGCCCAGACUCCUACGGGAGGCAGCAGUGGGGAAUAUUGGACAAUGGGCGAAAGCCUGAUCCAGCAAUGCCGCGUGAGUGAUGAAGGCCCUAGGGUUGUAAAGCUCUUUUACCCGGGAUGAUAAUGACAGUACCGGGAGAAUAAGCCCCGGCUAACUCCGUGCCAGCAGCCGCCGUAA